CAGAGACAGAGAAACAAGGAUUGGCCUGAACCCAGAUUCCUCCCUUGUCGUCUCCUGCCCACUUUCCAUCCUGACAUCGUUUGAAAUAUGGUGAUAACAGAGAAAUGGAAGUGACUUUCUAGGAUCACAGAGCUCAUGUCCAAAGUGGAAUUUGAAUUUUGGAUUUCUUGAUUCCUGGUAUCCAUGACACCAGAGCCCAGAAGACCUUAAAGGGACAGAUUUUGAGAUCAAAGUUCACCAGGAGCAAAUGCAAGUAGACUAUAUCUAUAUGAGUCAUUGCUUAGGAUUGUGUGACAUAUUUUCACAGGUAUCGAUUCUCAUAAAUAUAGACAAUAAUGGUUCGCAUUUAUGACACAUUUUAAACAGACAUGCUGGAACCAGUUCAUAUC
This is a long non-coding RNA of Sarcophilus harrisii (Tasmanian devil), 389 nucleotides long. RefSeq lists it as uncharacterized. The record is from RefSeq and is a predicted model, not a curated record. The transcript is spliced from 3 exons. NCBI's taxonomy places the organism in Eukaryota, Metazoa, Chordata, Mammalia, Dasyuromorphia, Dasyuridae.